RNAcentral lists this small nucleolar RNA (227 nucleotides) under Pongo abelii (Sumatran orangutan). Its description in RNAcentral is "Small nucleolar RNA U3 (ENSPPYG00000032134.1)". It matches the Rfam family "Small nucleolar RNA U3". Rfam says of the family: Small nucleolar RNAs (snoRNAs) are involved in the processing and modification of rRNA in the nucleolus. There are two main classes of snoRNAs: the box C/D class, and the box H/ACA class. The record is from Rfam by way of RNAcentral. Lineage: Eukaryota; Metazoa; Chordata; Mammalia; Primates; Hominidae.
AAGACUAUAUUUUAGGAAGUACGUGUCGUGUAGUUCGUUAUUAGUAAAAGGUUUUUUUUUUUGAAUGUGCGGAAUACCGGUAAGCCACGAGAAAAAACGUAGUGUUUUUUGCUGAGUGUAAAACUGACUUUUGGCAGCUACCUUAGUGUUAACUGCUGACUGUCAUUGACGACCGUCCUUUACGACUGUUUGGAGGGUAAGAGGGGAAAAAACGCCAUCUGAAUGGU